AAAAAGAAAAAAAAAAAGAAGAAAGAAAAACUUCGUGAAACAGAGAAACCCAGAAAACGAUCACUAACUUUUGCCCUUCACCACCGCACCAUCUUCCGGCCUCCCAACUGCCAUUCCGCCACUGCCUGACAACUCGUUGGCCUGUGGCGAAUCUAAAGCUACUUUUCCGGUCGCCUAAAGUUGGCCGGAUACCAAGAUUUGACUGGGUCAAGUGUCGACCUGAACUUCAACCCCCCGGAAUUUCAAUCUUUCCGGCCAUCUGACCUUUCCAAUCCCUUCUCCGACCACCGAUCUUCCAUUUCCCGUUGUCAAAACCGCCAUCCGACUAACCAGUUGCAAGAUUUUGUUGGGUUGGGUUACAAACCCAAUGGGUAACAAGGAAGAGCUCCCUAAUAGCUUUGGUGAGCUUGACCACUCUUGAUUCUAAUACUACUUGGAUCACACAAGAGGAGUUUCAGACUUUAGAUCCUUCUCUCUUGGAUGCUUAUUUGCAAAUCAACUCUAUAAAGUCAAGUUCUUUUCGAUUAAAGGGGAAUGAUGUAUAAUAUAUUCCUAAAGAUUUUAGCAGUA
This 570-nucleotide unclassified non-coding RNA is filed under the name Hevea brasiliensis (rubber tree). The record is from RNAcentral. Lineage: Eukaryota; Viridiplantae; Streptophyta; Magnoliopsida; Malpighiales; Euphorbiaceae.